RNAcentral lists this ribosomal RNA (429 nucleotides) under Chloroflexota bacterium. RNAcentral describes it as "Chloroflexi bacterium partial 16S ribosomal RNA". It matches the Rfam family "Bacterial small subunit ribosomal RNA", at positions 355 to 776 of the family's 1533-position model. Lineage: Bacteria; Bacillati; Chloroflexota. The record is from RNAcentral.
UGGGGAAUAUUGCACAAUGGGCGCAAGCCUGAUGCAGCCAUGCCGCGUGUGUGAAGAAGGCCUUCGGGUUGUAAAGUACUUUCAGCGGGGAGGAAGGGAGUAAAGUUAAUACCUUUGCUCAUUGACGUUACCCGCAGAAGAAGCACCGGCUAACUCCGUGCCAGCAGCCGCGGUAAUACGGAGGGUGCAAGCGUUAAUCGGAAUUACUGGGCGUAAAGCGCACGCAGGCGGUUUGUUAAGUCAGAUGUGAAAUCCCCGGGCUCAACCUGGGAACUGCAUCUGAUACUGGCAAGCUUGAGUCUCGUAGAGGGGGGUAGAAUUCCAGGUGUAGCGGUGAAAUGCGUAGAGAUCUGGAGGAAUAACGGUGGCGAAGGCGGCCCCCUGGACGAAGACUGACGCUCAGGUGCGAAAGCGUGGGGAGCAAACAGG